AUGGACACCAAGGUGUCCCUGCAGCUCCAUGUGUCUCUAAUUGUCCUCCUGUCUUUCCUGCAGGAGAGGCGUGAAAGAGAACGGACUCACAACUCGCUCUUUUCGGGCUCCUUUAACCCCCCCCCCCCCCCCCCACACUCUUUGGUUUUCACACGUUCAUCGAAAACACCUCCGGUGCCUCAGGAUGCGGCUCCAGUGCGGGAGGGAGGUCUGUUGAGGCCGGGGGGGGGGUCUAUGCUCACAAUGACUGGGGGGCAGUGGGGUUGGGGAUGGGGGGGCACCAAAACACUGGGUUCCUGCUCGUUUCCUGCCUUUCUCCCUGGACGUGGUGAAGGAAACCCACUUCCCUGUGGUCUCUCUCUCUCUCUCUCUCUCUCUUUCCCCCACCCCCUCCUCUCGCUGUUUUGCACACUCCCUAGCCGGCGUGCCCACACACACAGACACACAGACACACACACACACACACGCGCACUCCCAACUCAAGCGCUCGUGCCAUCAGGCUCUCUGGAGGAACUCGUGCUCCCGCUCACUAGGUUCACCCGAGCGUACCGGUCUGGGGGGGUCGGCACGUGGCCCCCCCCGUUGGACAUGGAGAGGCUGGAGUCAUUCAGGAGGAAGGCAGCCGCCACCAACUUGGACUCGGAGCGCGAGAGAUCAGCCCACUUCCGAUCGUCAUGGCAACAGCAUGCGAACGUGUUCGGCUCGUGGAGCAGGCCGGAGUGCGUGCGGGAGCUGCAUGAGGAGGCGCGGCUCAACCUCCACCGCCUGCUGCAAGAAUUCGAGGAGCAGCUGUACGGGGACAAGGUGACAGGACAGACAUUCCGACCAACUGGACAGCCAUCCUCUCCGAGCUCAGAGGACACAGGCCAAAGCAGCAGCCGGAGACCCGACUUCGUCUUCCUGGCGCGUGACGGCGGCACCGUACCCGUAGGGUUCCCGGCGUCCGACACGGGUGGCGGCAGUCCAGCCCGACCACACCUGCUGUCGCGCUCCUCGAGGGGACCCCCUGUGGCCGAGAAGCCCCGUUGGUACCUGAGAUGCCGCGCUCCCGCCCGCCUGCUGCCCGCUGAUGUGACAGGUUAGGUUUUUCCCGGAGUUCUCUUCUCUCCGCUGCAUUCUCCUCGAUGCAUGUGAUCCUGUGUUUUCCACUCUUUUUUCGUUUUCUCCUUGUUCUCUUCUCUCUGUUCAUGUUUCCUUUUGCCACCGCUCCCCUCUGCACGGUGCAGUACAUGAGGUUUACUGAUGCACUUAAACCACUGGCCACUUCCCAGGACCCAGGAAGUGUUAUUUUGCUUGAAACAGGUAGAAGUUGCUAUGGCAACCCCAGAUUUUCCUUUGCCUCUGAGUCUCAGAUAUGGAGAUGUAAACAAGAAGGGAACAGCGAGAGAAAAUAGUCUUGUCCUCACUCUACAUGCUCCGCUUCCCAACUCUUUUGCUCGUCUUCUUACAUGAGGCACAUACAGUGAAACAUGUUACGUUCUUCUGCAAAGUCAGCCAUUUGGUUUUCGUGAGUCAAUUCACUGUGUCCAAUGAGCAAAACGUGUUUACAUGUUAAAGUUAUAAAGAACAAUGGAGCAGUCUGAGGAUUUGCAUUAAAUUCAACUAAAUUCUAAAUCUUAUUAUUGCUAAUAAUUGGCGCAGGCUCUACGCUGCCUGGAGGAGUUUGUCCCCGCGGUCGUCCGGAUGCUAUAAGGCAGAGGAUAUUUUACACGUGAUGCUGGUGCUCAGCAGGGCACUCUUAGGCGCUGUGGUCUGGAGGAGCACUGGUCUGCAAAGAGAGGGGACAGUUGCACACAGUGGAAAUGCGGUACGAUUUCUGGACUGGCGCACCAUCAAAGCCAUGGCGGGAACCAGACGGGCACCUGCGUGGACUGGCUGUGUGCAGCGUGAGCUUCUCUUCCUCUUCAGACCACAAAGUGGAAAUCGCAUCGUAUGCGUAGUGACCACAAAACAAAAUGCACUCAAAUCUCAUAGCUGUGGAGCAGGGAAUUACGUUUCUGCAAACAAAUAUGAAAACAACGUUAUGUCUGUUUUCACUGUCCGUGAGAACGUGGACUGUACGAAAUGUACUGCGUUGUUCUUGUUGGAUCUGUUGAAUCUCUGCUCUUCGCACACCAAGGGAAUGAAAUUGUGUGUCCUUGUGGCCACUAAAGAGUGAGGCGGUCAAAUGUUUUGAGCAAAUAAAAAAAUUGUGUUUCAUCA
Long non-coding RNA from Scleropages formosus (Asian bonytongue), 2202 nucleotides. The record is from Ensembl. Lineage: Eukaryota; Metazoa; Chordata; Actinopteri; Osteoglossiformes; Osteoglossidae.